This is a non-coding RNA of Fukomys damarensis (Damara mole-rat), 318 nucleotides long. NCBI's taxonomy places the organism in Eukaryota, Metazoa, Chordata, Mammalia, Rodentia, Bathyergidae. The record is from Rfam.
AGAUGUAAGAGCAUUCUGGCUAGGUCAUUUGUCAUCCCAUUGGUCACCAGGGUUGAUUCAGCUAAGGUGAGGAGGGAGGCGGAUGUCCCCUUCCUCCCUCACCGUUCCAUAUGCGUCCCUCCUGAAGCUGCAUGCUUGGUCUGUGAGCACGAUCGCCAAGGAGAACUGUUUCCUCAGUUGAAGGAAUAUAAGUAGCUGCACUCCCCUGCUAGAACCUCCAAACAAGCUUUCAAGAAAGGUACCCUGGCAUUUCCCAGGUGUAGUGAUUCAUGCCUGCAAUCCCAGCACUUCAGAGACUGUGGCAGGAGGAUUGUUUUG